UACGUAUGGGGCAAGCGUUAUCCGGAUUUACUGGGUGUAAAGGGAGCGCAGGCGGCCUGGCAAGCCUGAUGUGAAAUACCGGGGCCCAACCCCGGGGCUGCAUUGGGAACUGCCAGGCUGGAGUGCCGGAGAGGCAGGCGGAAUUCCUAGUGUAGCGGUGAAAUGCGUAGAUAUUAGGAGGAACACCAGUGGCGAAGGCGGCCUGCUGGACGGUGACUGACGCUGAGGCUCGAAAGCGUGGAGAGCAAACAGG
RNAcentral lists this ribosomal RNA (253 nucleotides) under uncultured bacterium. RNAcentral's name for it is "partial 16S ribosomal RNA". It matches the Rfam family "Bacterial small subunit ribosomal RNA", at positions 524 to 776 of the family's 1533-position model. The record is from RNAcentral.